UACGUAGGGGGCAAGCGUUGUCCGGAAUCAUUGGGCGUAAAGAGCGUGUAGGCGGCCAAGCAGGUCCGUUGUGAAAACUGGAGGCUUAACCUUCAGACGUCGACGGAAACCGCGCGGCUAGAGUCCGGAAGAGGAGAGUGGAAUUCCUGGUGUAGCGGUGAAAUGCGCAGAUAUCAGGAAGAACACCAAUGGCGAAGGCAGCUCUCUGGGACGGUACUGACGCUGAGACGCGAAAGCGUGGGGAGCGAACAGG
RNAcentral lists this ribosomal RNA (253 nucleotides) under uncultured bacterium. Its description in RNAcentral is "partial 16S ribosomal RNA". It matches the Rfam family "Bacterial small subunit ribosomal RNA", at positions 524 to 776 of the family's 1533-position model. The record is from RNAcentral.